CCGUAUGUCCUAUACUUUCGACUUUAUGUCAAAGUUGACUCGCGGAACAGAACAGGUUAAACAAAAUGUCGACGUCGACGAUGAUCUAACUGUAUCCUACCUUUGAUAACGCGUGUACAAGAUGCACACACGGUCCGCGUGAGCAUGUUUGUGCAUAAUACACGAAGCGCGUGCACGUAGACGCGUCACGUAGCCGUGCGUGCAACAGUACACGGCCGAGAAGCAAUUAUGUACGACGGCAAUGAUAAUCCCCGGUUGUAACUACGCGGGUAACUAUAUCGCGCUGCAGUAUAUACCGUGACAACUACACCGCGUAGUCUACGGGUACAGUUUAUAUGGGAGUCGGUCGUAUAACGUUUACGUCAUACGAGGCGAGCUGCUGCUUCUCCGAGAGCUUGCAUGCGGAAACGCACCCGUAACUCGUCCCUGUGUCUACGAUCGCGCUUAAUUGGCUGCGGAUUUCGGAUCCUUGAAAUUCAGACGAUUUCGGAGGAUUAACUUUGGAUUUUGGAAUCCUGCUGACGUUUUUCGCAAUUUAAAACGAGUAUACUAAGUGACGUUGUUGGAAUUUCUCUUUCAAAUUUCCCAGAUAUUACAAUCACGUAUAACGGUUAAAAUAGUCGAAUUAUGUCGUUUCUAAACCAACGAGUGAAAGUAAAUACAUGCAAUUAAGAAAAGGUAAAUCGUGUAAACACGAAGUUUCGGAAAGAAGUACGUAAAAACUAUUCUCGUUUCAUGUUUUAUUCAUCCAGCAUGUUUAAAUAAUGACUCGACAGAGUUCAAUUUAUUCCGUCCAUGUUCGGAAAAUGGACUACAUAUUAUUGUUGCAUCGUGUCGAACUCGAUCGAGUCGUAGGCAUUCGUUGCCGCUGACAAAUUUCUCGCAUAUCUGACCGACACACCGGCUAAUUCGCAAUCUAAACUGCACACUAGUGCACACCAGCAAUCAUCUGCACGGAUUCACGUGGGAGCACAGUGUAUCUAGUGAGAGUAGACGAUUGAAACCGGUUUCUCCUGCUUUCAGACCGAGUAAUUUCGUUAGUUCGCGCGGCAUCCUCUUCUCUCCUCGUGCCACGGACAAGGGAGAAAGCUAUUUCACCAUCACGAUCACUCCCGUUCGGCUGCAUCGUUCUCAAAUUGUCUAGCUUCAAAGAAUUUCUAAAACGAACAGGUUUUUUCAUCGUCUUCCACUAUAUUUUCUAUUUCUUUAUUUUGGAAGGGACCUUCUAUUCGAUAUACACGAUUGUUUUUGUAAUCAACGUUUUUGUUCUUUUCUUUUCUUAAUUCGAUUAGGUUAUAGGGUAAGCAGGGUUCUUUAAGUCAGAGGAAUACUUUAAUCGAGCAAAAUACGAUUAUAAAUAAUUUUUAAGAAAUCUACAUUUGAAAAUACGAUGUUACUGAUUGACGUGACAAACACAGUGAAAUAUAUCGUAUGCUCAUAUUUAUCGAGAAACUUCUAUUUAUCAAAACGAAAGAUUCAAAAGUAGCUGGCACAGUGAGACAAAUAUCUGAAUGACCUAUUUUUCGAAUUCUGAGGAAACUUGAUAUUAGCGAAAACGAUCUACUCGGAUAAAUCGAUGGUUGAGUAUCAAACUUGUGACGAGCUGACGUUCCAUAAUGACGGAGGGAACCUUGUAAUGCUUCCUCGACCAUGUGGCUAUCGAUUAUAAAAUGUAAGAAUGAUCCAUCAAAAAUAGAACGCUGCAACAGUAACACGACGCCCUCAAACACGAAGAUUCAAUCUACAAGAAGCUAAGGGAAACGUUCGAACGAUAAACAAUUGCCCUCAAAACGUCGAAAAAACUUAGUAAAAUUUUAAAUAAAUUAUCUAAAAAAAACCACUCGAGGAGUUAGAAUGAUAAAUGGUGUAUGUAAGUGCCGGAAGCGAAGAUUUACAGCAGAAACAAGUACUGCGUUUCUACUAAUUCUAACUUAUUUCUGAUACUUCAUUCAUCACUUGAACGCUAUGAACAUUCAAUGAUUAUCACUGAUAAAAAAAAAAAACGCUUUAUUCUAAAAUAAUGGUACACAUGUACAAAUAUUUUUUAUCCGCUAUAUAGUAAAUUUACAUCUCUUUUCACUAAGAAAAAGUCUUUUACUCGUUUCUUUAACGUCUACGUCAUUUGCCAUUUCGACUCGAUUUAUCUGCUUAUCGAAAAUACUCGUAAUCCUUUACGGAAGUGAGAAUGAAAAUGCGCAACGACGAAA
Bombus huntii is the source of this 2207-nucleotide long non-coding RNA. RefSeq lists it as uncharacterized. The record is from RefSeq and is a predicted model, not a curated record. The transcript has 3 exons. Lineage: Eukaryota; Metazoa; Arthropoda; Insecta; Hymenoptera; Apidae.